UCAGGAUGAACGCUGGCGGCGUGCUUAACACAUGCAAGUCGAACGGGGAUUACACGGAGAUGCGAUUUCGGUCAAAUCAAGUGCAAUCUUAGUGGCGGACGGGUGAGUAACGCGUGGGUAACCUGCCUUGCACUGGGGGAUAACACUUAGAAAUAGGUGCUAAUACCGCAUAAGCGCACGGUCCUGCAUGGGACAGUGUGAAAAACUCCGGUGGUGCAAGAUGGACCCGCGUCUGAUUAGCUGGUUGGCGGGGUAAAGGCCCACCAAGGCGACGAUCAGUAGCCGGCCUGAGAGGGUGGACGGCCACAUUGGGACUGAGACACGGCCCAAACUCCUACGGGAGGCAGCAGUGGGGGAUAUUGGACAAUGGGGGGAACCCUGAUCCAGCGACGCCGCGUGAGUGAAGAAGUAUUUCGGUAUGUAAAGCUCUGUCAGCAGGGAAGAAAGCAAUGACGGUACCUGACCAAGAAGCCCCGGCUAACUACGUGCCAGCAGCCGCGGUAAUACGUAGGGGGCAAGCGUUAUCCGGAAUUACUGGGUGUAAAGGGAGCGUAGACGGCUGUGCAAGUCUGGAGUGAAAGGCGGGGGCCCAACCCCCGGACUGCUCUGGAAACUGUAUGGCUGGAGUGCAGGAGAGGUAAGCGGAAUUCCUAGUGUAGCGGUGAAAUGCGUAGAUAUUAGGAGGAACACCAGUGGCGAAGGCGGCUUACUGGACUGUAACUGACGUUGAGGCUCGAAAGCGUGGGGAGCAAACAGGAUUAGAUACCCUGGUAGUCCACGCCGUAA
RNAcentral lists this ribosomal RNA (786 nucleotides) under uncultured bacterium. RNAcentral describes it as "bacterial SSU rRNA". It matches the Rfam family "Bacterial small subunit ribosomal RNA", at positions 24 to 805 of the family's 1533-position model. The record is from RNAcentral.